RNAcentral lists this ribosomal RNA (465 nucleotides) under Vreelandella stevensii. Its description in RNAcentral is "partial 16S ribosomal RNA". It matches the Rfam family "Bacterial small subunit ribosomal RNA", at positions 338 to 795 of the family's 1533-position model. The record is from RNAcentral. Lineage: Bacteria; Pseudomonadati; Pseudomonadota; Gammaproteobacteria; Oceanospirillales; Halomonadaceae.
CCUACGGGCGGCAGCAGUGGGGAAUAUUGGACAAUGGGCGAAAGCCUGAUCCAGCCAUGCCGCGUGUGUGAAGAAGGCCUUCGGGUUGUAAAGCACUUUCAGUGGGGAAGAAAGCCUUGGGGCUAAUACCCUCGAGGAAGGACAUCACCCACAGAAGAAGCACCGGCUAACUCCGUGCCAGCAGCCGCGGUAAUACGGAGGGUGCGAGCGUUAAUCGGAAUUACUGGGCGUAAAGCGCGCGUAGGCGGUCUGAUAAGCCGGUUGUGAAAGCCCCGGGCUCAACCUGGGAACGGCAUCCGGAACUGUCAGGCUAGAGUGCCGGAGAGGAAGGUAGAAUUCCCGGUGUAGCGGUGAAAUGCGUAGAGAUCGGGAGGAAUACCAGUGGCGAAGGCGGCCUUCUGGACUGACACUGACGCUGAGGUGCGAAAGCGUGGGUAGCAAACAGGAUUAGAUACCCGGGUAGUC